UUUCCGUAGGUGAACCUGCGGAAGGAUCAUUGUCGAAACCUGCCCAGCAGAACGACCCGCGAACUUGUAUAAACAACCGGGGGCGGGGGGCGUUCUCGCCCCGUGCCCCCGAACGGCGGGGAGACACUCGUGCCUUCUUGCCGAACAACGAACCCCGGCACGGUCUGCGCCAAGGAACUUCAACUAAAGAGUGCCUCCGGUCGCCUCGGAAACGGCGUGCGUGCCGGGGGCGAAUCUUGUGCAAAACCAUAACGACUCUCGGCAACGGAUAUCUCGGCUCUC
This 282-nucleotide unclassified non-coding RNA is filed under the name plant metagenome. RNAcentral describes it as "partial contains small subunit ribosomal RNA, internal transcribed spacer 1, and 5.8S ribosomal RNA". The record is from RNAcentral.